UACGUAGGGUGCAAGCGUUAAUCGGAAUUACUGGGCGUAAAGCGUGCGCAGGCGGCUUUGCAAGACAGAUGUGAAAUCCCCGGGCUUAACCUGGGAACUGCAUUUGUGACUGCAUGGCUGGAGUGCGGCAGAGGGGGAUGGAAUUCCGCGUGUAGCAGUGAAAUGCGUAGAUAUCAUUUGGAACGCCAAUGGUGAAAACAGGUAGCUGGGAGUGUGCUGACGCUGAGACACGAAAGCCAGGGGAGCGAACGGG
RNAcentral lists this ribosomal RNA (253 nucleotides) under uncultured bacterium. RNAcentral describes it as "partial 16S ribosomal RNA". It matches the Rfam family "Bacterial small subunit ribosomal RNA", at positions 524 to 776 of the family's 1533-position model. The record is from RNAcentral.